AGAGAGCCACUUUGCAUCAGCAGCACCAUGCUCCAGUGCUCUGGGAGAGUUUAUAGUCCUGAGAGUUGAACACUGGAUGACUGACAGCUGUCCUUCAUGACAACAGAAGCCACAGAAAUCCUCCUCAUCAAAAACAUGACUUUGAUCUCCGUCCUCAUCUGGACUCUCCUCUGCUGCUGCUUCACAGAGUCCAGAGGUCAGGUCACAGUGACUCAGCCUGGAGCAGUGAGCUCUGCUGUGGGAGGCUCCGUCACCAUCACAUGUAGGACCAGUCAUGACAUUUACUCAGACAAUUUAGCCUGGUACCAACAGAGAGAUGGAGAAACUCCUAAGCUGCUCAUUCAUGAUACUAGCACUCGAGCAUCAGGGAUUCCAGGUCGUUUUACAGGCAGUGGAUCAAAGUCUGACUUCACUCUGACCAUCAGUGGAGUCCAGACUGAAGAUGCAGCAGUUUACUACUGUGAGGGUGAAUUCAGUAUCAACAGUCAGUGGUUGUUCACACAGUGAAAAAGCGUCGUACAAAAACCUCCCUCAGUCAGACUGAACAGAAACUGAACUGACUGCUGCAGCUGGAAGCUACUGCAGAGACUGAUACACUUCACUGAGGACACACACACACACACACACACACACACACACACACACACACACACACACACACACAGGCCAGAAAGACACAGACACAUACACAUGCAUUAAUGGAGAGAUGUCACAUCGAGGGGGUUGCCCAUGGACAGGCAUUCCUAGCAGUUAAAGGUUUCGUGCCUUGCUCACAACAGCUCCUCAGCUCCCAGUCCCCACUCCUUGUUCAGUCCGUAGAGGACUUCAACUGGGGACCCUCUGGCUCCCAAGCCAAGUCCCCACAGACUGAGUGACUGCCUCUCAUGUAAAUGUACACUUAUGUUAUGAAAAAAAGCUUUAUAUCACCUAGAAUCAAAAAAAUAUAAAAGACAUAAAUGACCCACUUAAUGUAACCACAUUCAUACAAGUGUAUGUGUGUUACUUAAGUGUUAAAUCGGCUGGCAGACAGCAAGAGACAGAGACUGUCCUCUCAUCUCUUUCAUGUUAUUGGUGACACAGGCAUGCAUCAACGUGUUGUUUGCCUGCCAGAAAAGCUCUGUCAAAAUUGACAUUUUAUCCUCUUAUAAGACAUACUUUUAUGUUGCAUUUUUAGACAUUUGUCGAUUUUACCUGCUUAUUUGACCCGGUUAAACAAUUUCAGUCAUCGGACGUCUAGAUUUGGUAUAAAUAGAGUGACUGAAACAUUUCUAUGCCUGGCGGAAACCAUCAUCACUGAAAACUUGUCCAAUUCCCAUUCAUCUCAGUGGGCCAAGUAAGUUUCACUCUUUGGAGGACCUAAAUCUGCUCUGAUCUCUGCCCAAGCCAGGAUA
Molecule: non-coding RNA, 1391 nt
Organism: Epinephelus fuscoguttatus (brown-marbled grouper)
Lineage: Eukaryota; Metazoa; Chordata; Actinopteri; Perciformes; Serranidae
Source: the annotation of a RefSeq genome assembly